GAUCAACCCUCUUUUUUCCCCCUCCUGUGCUACUGAUUUGCUUACUGUGUAUUCGAUUCGCGUUGCCAUGAAGGCGAAGCUCUAUAUUUAGCCAGCAUCAGAAUCGGGUUUAAGGGAGUGGAAUAAUGAGUUGGAACUGCCAGUUUCAAUGAGUAAGGUAUUUAGAGCAAAAGCCUGCCGGAGGAUUUCUCUUUUAUGAUAUCAAUAUACACGUGAUUGGGAAGACAUAAAACGGGAUUUUGCCACGAGUCCACGGAGGCAACUUUUGGCUCUUCAGCAGAGAGUAGAUUGAGGGCAGGAGGCAUUUUUACUCCGCGACAAGCUCCCAGAGAAAUAGAGGCGCGGGCUCACUCCAGCGUACAGAAGGUUCAGUGAGGGCGAAGACUUUUGAGGCUUUGUGAGAAAUAAUGGCUGUCCACCCAUGAGAAAAAAACAACAGAGAAAUGGAAGAUGAGAGAUGAGAGAAAAGAAGAUUUUUCUCACCAUUAAAACUCAGAAGCUCUCAUAAAUAAAGUGAUCAAGGGGAGAAGAUAUCACUGACUACCUGGAUCACCUUGUUGGAUCAAUAUGGCCAUCCAUGACUUAUUAAUGAGAGGCAUCAGCAAGUCAAAUGUAAAGUAGAUAUUUGAAGUCAAAACGAUGCUGGGAAGGAUGAAAAGGCCAAGACAUUUGACUACUUGGCCUUAAGGCACAAAUUUGGACCAUUGUCUGCAUGGUUUAUCUUUGCAUACUGUUAGGAAAACUCGGUCUUUUUUUUUUUACUGUUCACAAUAUUCAGCUUAGUGUGUUCUUUGUUGUGCGUUUAAAGAAACAUUGUAGAUGUCUUUAUAUUUCUGGUUUUCAGUUUUGCAUAAGUGAAUUAAAAAUCCAGAAUCAUUAUUGUUAUAAAAUACAUGUGCCUAUUCUGAUAAUACCCUAACUUUCAAUAUAGUAAAAAAAAAAACCCUAAAAAGUUUAGUAAAACAUAUUAAGUGUGAUAAUAAGUUAUAAUUAAAUCAUUUCCUUUUCCUAUUCAAAUAUCCAAUGAAAAGCUUUAUCAGCCAGGGAAGCAGAAGGUAGAUUAGGUAUCCCAAAACAACUGAAGUAAUAGCAAUGCUAUCGUUGUUCAUUGUUCCACAAACAAAACAAAAAAGCACUCCAGAGUUUCUAUAGAUUUUGGUAUCAUAGACUAUUUCAUAUCUCCUAAUAGUAAUGCUGGUGAGAAAUACUCUUUUAUGUUGAUGACUUCAGAGGCUUUUGUCAAAGACAAAGAAUAGACACUAGCCCAGUCAAUGAAUUUGGGCCAAUUUGGGAACCACAACUAUGCAAAUCUACUGGGAUCCCCCAGUACAUUGUACAACAUUUGGACUCAAAGCGGCAGCACUUUAUCGAUAGCACCUCAGUUGCCUUGACAUUUGAUUGAAUUUGUCAGCUACUGGCCAGUAGCAGUCAGGGGAGGCAAGAUUCCCCACCAGAAUUUGGGAUCUUCACAGGGUGUUAUUCAUGUUUUCUUGUGUCUUUUUUACUGAUAUGUUGUGUGUGGUCUUGUUGAAAACCCAAUGUUAUGCUGUAUUUAUAUUACUUUUAUCACUGUAUGGAUUAUGUUAUGCUGUCUGUAUAUAUCUUUAUGUUUUUGGACAUUGUUUAAUCAAAGGAAGUCAGAGAGGUGCAUAUUUGAAAAGGAAAGCAGGUUAAACUGCUAAGUAUUUCUUGCCAUUGUGUUAGUAGGGCAAGGACAAUUGCCACUCCAAAUGGCAGAAGGGGCCACUAGUGGGACUGAUAUCCAAGGCAUUGUCUGCUUGUACUGGGAAAAAUAAUCCCAUAGCAGAAGGGGUUUCAGAGCAAUGGCCCAUUACCUAGAGAAUUCUGAGACCCAUGAGCAAUAAAGACAAUGCUGAUGAGGGCAGGGAAGACCAUUUCUAGAUAUUUUAUGGCUAUCUGUGAGGUGGUCCUGGUUCUUGGAGUUUCUGGCCAUGUCUACAUGAGUGGGGGACUGUGCAGUGGUCAGUAGGCAUUACUGCACACUACCACAACCACACUCUUUUUUCCCAAUUCUCAUGUGCAUUAUGUGUGCAGUAUCAUUGCCACAUGGUUAGUGCUUGGCAACGCUACUGCACGGUAGCAACAAGCUACUGCACAAUAGGUUGUAGUGUCUCAUGUAGAUGCCCCCUCUGAGUCUGUAGGAGGGUCCAAGUCUCCAGCAGUCAGAAUUGGCAGGGUCAGCAGAAUGGCUGAUCUUUGAAAAAUCCUGGUAGGAUUCUCUGAAAAAGUUUAGUUUGUAGCCUGAUGAGAGGGUAUGAAACUUAUCUUGUCUUUUUGUUUUGCCUUCAAACUUAAUGGCCAGUUUUGCUUGUAUUAUUCUUUUCUCCUAUAUAGAAAGUCCACUUGUUAUUUUGUCUCCUUACUGAUUGCCUGUGUUGAAGAGCGAUCCCUGGGUGAGUGAAAUUCCAGGGUAAUUCAUGCUAAGGAAAGGGGGAUGUAAAAAUUAUUUCAUAACCCAAUGGGAAAUCACCUCUAGCUGGCAGAGAUCCCCCUGCUGUAGCUUUGAGGGCCUGUAAAGGGCUGUGAACCUGAGUUUUGUGGGAAUAAGAAGUUAUCCUAGGGCAAACCUUUGUGACAAGCAGCCUAGGCAGCAGAGAGAAAUGCAGGGCUCUGGGGUACUCCAUGGAUGGGUCUGUGACGGUAAAGUCCAUAUGCAUCUGCUGGUUUUGAAUAGUGUUCACACUGCAGGUGUUCCACUACUGCAGCUGCAGAAUGCACUUUGCAUAGGUAGGAAAGUGGCUUUUGACAUCCUGCAGUUUUGCAGCCACCGCUGUUCACGCCAGAUGUGUCUCACCAUGCCAUAUGAGUGAGCAGUGCUAUUUGACUGAGCCUCAAAGUGGUGCUUUCCUGAGUGAAACUGCUCUGAGAAAAGAUCUAAAGAAGUACCUGUUUAAUUUAAGUUUCUUUCAUCUCUGGUGCUCUACUUUCUAUGGUGUUGAAAUAAGUGCAUGACUUUAGAUACACUUGGAGCAGCAUAUUUAUAUUAAUCCCCACAAGACUCAUAGAGUUCCCCCAUGUUUCCUCCUUCCUGCCUGACUGUGCUUUGGAACUGGCACUGGCUCACACAAAAGUGAUGGAAUGAAACAAGAGAAAAUAUGAAAAUUGAAUAUUUUGUCCCAAGCCUCUGAAUUCUAGUACAUUCUGGUAGGUAUUGCAUAAUGUACAACAUGAAAGAGAGAGAAACUGGACAGUACAGAAGUGGAACAAAGCACCAUGGGAUAUCUGAGCAGAAUGCUGAGUACUAGUUUUGAAACAUCACCUUGCCAUAUCUCCACAAGGAUUCAUUUAUAUUUAUCCCCACAAUCCAGCCAAAAGCACCUGGACUGUUGAAUAACAAUGCAUUGUGUUCACACUGCUUGUGACAAUUCCUGUAGAUCACCUAUCAAAAAUAGGAAAAAAGCCUGCAAAAGUUUCAUACUAUAAGUACCAAGCUUCUUGUGAAACACUUCCUUAUUUAGAAGUUAAUAGGGAAAAGCAGGGACAGGAAAUGCCUAGCUGUGAAUUCUCCCAUUACAGCUUCCUCUUACAAAGCAGAAGUGACUUGGCGUUCAUGAAGCAAUGUUUUCUUUAAUUCAUGGUUAACUUCUACUCCACUUCAACUCCAUUCCAUUUACCAUUCUUUCUUAACUUCUGAAACAAGAGGGCCCAACUUAGGGUUUAAAUGCCCAAGAUCUACAGCAAUCACAAGAAUAAUUUUCAAAGACUAAAUGGAUUAAGUCAAUGAAAGUUGGGCAUGUAACCUGUAUAGCCCCCACCCCUCUUUGAAGAGAGAAAUAAAUGUAUGUCUCACUAUAUGUUCAGUGUCAUGGGUUCCUGUUACUGUUGAUAAUUCAGGCUAGUAAGGCAGAGACAAAGGAACAAAAAUAUUCUGUUCAGAGGCCAGCUACAAGGUAAAGAUUUGAAUAAUAUUUUCUUUAAGCUUGUCCUCUUGAAUAACAUUAUUGAAGAAAAUUCAAAACCAUUAUUUUUGCACUUCAGCAUUUUAAAGGCUACUCAGAUAGCUAAGGGACUGAGGCAUAUGAUGUAUGAGGAGAGGCUGAGAGAACUGGUUUUAUUUAGUCUGGAGAAGAGAAGAUUGAGAGAACGCAUCUACAUGUGUCAUUAGGGCCAUGUCAAGGUGAGCAUAGAUGUUUGGUUCCCUGGGGACAAGUAGCAGUGGCAUGCCUUGUGCCACUGCUACUUGUGCCCCGGGGAAUGCCUGUGCCAUGCAGUAGAUUACCCUGGGUGGGGUAGGAGAGGCUGGGACCAGCAACUGUGCUGGACCCAGAAGCCUUACCUGCGGUUCUGGAGACUGUGGAAGUUGCAUUUGCAGCGCUUCUGCAGCUGGGAGUCUUGCUGGCAGCUGGAGCAUGGCUCUGGGUGGCCAGGCUCUGGUUUUGUGUGGUGUGCACUGCCAUCACAUGUGUCACUCUGCUUUUUUCUGCACAGGUCAAAAAAUACCCCACGUUGUCAGGUAGUAGCACAGGGAACACCUGAAUGUGCAGUGUGUGGCGCUACAGAUGGGUCUGCAGCGCCACAUACUGCAUGGCCGUGCUUGUCUGGAUGUGACGUAGGGGGCAGCAAUAAGCUGCAGAUUGCUCUGCAGUUUAUUGCUCCUGGGUACGCAUCUGUAUGUGUGCCUGGAGCACAGCAUAUUGAGCCAGGUCGCAGCAGCCCCAGCUGCAGGGAGCCCAGGGGGUCAGCCUGCCAGUCUGGGGCUGUUCCAACUGGGCUCAAUGUGCUGCAGAGGGGACUGGUUGGGGCAGUGAGGGUGCUUUAGUGUGGGGCAGUGAGGGUGCUUUAGUUGGCUCUCAGUCCUGGCGCUGAAGCACCCUCAUGCCCCAACCAGCUGGUCAUUAUCUACAUGUGCAUUGCUGUGCAUGAAAAAACUCCACAGUAGGGUAGGACUUGUAAAUACAGUCUGCUACAGAGUUUAUUAGUUUCAUGUGCCCUAAUAGGCCAAUAAAUAUCUCAUGUAGGCAUGCCCAGAGGGGAUUUAAUAACAGUCUUCAACUAUCUGAAAGGUGGUUACAAAGAGGAUGGAGCUAGACAGUUCUCAGUGGUAGCAGAUGACAAAACAAAGAGCAAUGGUUUCAAGUUGCAGCAAGGAAAGUUUUGGUUAGAUAUUAGGAAAAACUUUCUCACUCAGAGGCUGCAUUUAUACGGGAUGCUGACUGUGCAGUCAUAACUGAGCAGUCAUUUCGUGCUUGUAUAAACAAGUACAAAAUGACUGUGCAAUAACCGGAGUUACUGUAUAGCAUCACUGAACGGCUUUUAGGUGAUGCUGACUGUACAGUAGCUUGUUACUACUGCACAUUAGUAUUGCAUUGCGCUUCCUGCCACAUGGUGCUACUGUGCAGUAGUAACGAACUACUGCACAGUUAGCGUCUCUUGUAGACAUGGCCAGAGGGUAGUAACGCACUGGAACAGACUAUCCAUAGGGGCUAUGGAAUCUCCAUCCUUGGAGAUUUUAAAACCCAGCUAGGCAAAGCGUGGGGUGAGAUGAUAUCAUUGGCCGUGUUUAUACGAAACAAGGGGCAUAUGUGCAUGACACUUUAAAGGGGGCUAAAUGCUUUUGCACUGCUUUAAUGGUUUUGGUAUUUGCAUGCCUUGGCAGUGUAUUGCACAUUCAUUCCAGCUGCAGUAGGAAAUUUGGUGGCCUAAUGCACCUUAAAUGACAUGGGGUGCAGCAAACUAAAACUCCUUCGAGGAGUUCUAGUUUGCUAUCCCUACAGCCACGGAGUGAAGCACUGGGCUCCACGCAGCUCAGGGGCUCUUCAGGAAGCUUUGUAGGUAGCCUGGCAGCAGCCCAGGAAAUAGAGCUCCACCCAAGAAAAGCAGUGAGCCUGAUUCCCCCCCAACCCCCUGGAGCCUGUCUGCCCGCCUGAGCUGCGUGGGGGUCUGGUUCUUCUCUCCGCAGCUGCGGUGCCCUCCAGUGCUGCCCAAGCUGGGUUUAAAAACUCACUGCUUCAAUGUAGGGCCCCUGUUUCAUCUACACAUGCCCAUUAUGGAUGGUCCUGCUUUGAGCAGGGGGUUAGACUAGAUGACUUCCUGAGGUCCCUUCAACCCUCAUUUUCUCUGAUUCUAUGAUUUUGUGAUUCAUCACCAGGUUGAUUUUGCAUUUGCUAUACUUUCUGGAUUCUCUGAACAAUUAUAUAGGUGGUGAUUUUCUUUGGGUGACAAUUUUAUAAGGAUUUUUACCUUCAACUGGAUCCAUACAUAUAGAGCACUUGGAGUUAUAUUUCAUUGCAUGUAUGUUUUUCUCUUUUCCUGACUAAAGCUAAAAGCUUCAUCUAUGAUAUUUCUGUCGGUGAGAGAACAACUCUGUUGAAAAGCUCUUUAAAAGUAUUACUCCAGCCCUGAAAUGAAGGUCAUAUGUUCAAUAGGUGAAUAUAACCAUUUAUACUUUACUAACCCCUUUGAUGCCAAAGUUCAAGAUUUUGUGAAAUAAUUUCUAGUGAAAAGAAAUAUCAUUGGAGCCACAGAACUCUUCAUACCAAGGGUUAAUGCUAAGAGCUUGCUGGGCUUUGGAAUGUGCCUAUCUAGACAAGCAGGGAAUUUGAAUGGGAAUUGUCAAGGUUCAAAUACUGCUUUUUAACAUGACCUAGUUGGAUCAGCAUGGCCAUCUGUGGCUUUCAAUAAUGAGAGGCAUCAGCAGGUCAGAUGUGAAGUAGAUCUUUGAAGUCAGAGGGUCAAAUUCAUCCCAUGGUGUAAUUCCAUAGGAAUUACUUUACCUCCAUUUGUGAAAAUUAACAGUUUUCCUCCGCCUUUCAUGUUCAAACAUUUAUUUUAGCUUUCUAUUUUGCAGAAUAUGCACUGGAAGGGGCCAACCUAUUUGAAUAACAUGAUUAUGGGGAGAGGAGAGGAUAUAUUUUCAAAUUUCUAGUCAAAAUCAGACUUGUAAUAGAAAGUUGCAGUGAUAACCAAGGGUGCCUAUUGCCCCUUCACCUUGCAUUUUAAAUGUUACAGCCAUGAUGAUAUCUAGGUACAAAGCCAAGAUGUAAAGAUCCGAAGUUUGUUACACAAAGAACAAAAAAAACAAAAAGGGAAAAAUACUCCAUGACUGUCCUACAGCCUGUUGCAACCCACAAUGUAAAAGUCCAUUGUUUUACAUAAUACACCAGUUCUUUUUUCCAGACUUUUUUGGCAAGGUAGAUGCAGAUUAUUCAAAUGUUAUGUGAUAACAUGUCUAUUUAUGUGAGCCUGGAAAUAAGUUGGAUAAGAUGUGCUCUUAUCCAUUGUUUUAGCAUGUAGAGAGCUAAGUAGUUUACAUGUUAAUGUGUAAGGACUCAUAUUUACAUUAAAUGAGAGAUGAAUAUCAUUUUUCAAAAUUCUUGAAAUAAAUUAUAACGUUAUGCAGUGUGUCUUACCAUCUUCAUUAGCAACAGGGGACCAUUCAGCUCACCAUUUGUUAUGUUUCCUUCAUGUAUAAUAUGUUUAAACUACUACUUGCAAACAUAUAUCUUUGCAAUAUUAUUCUAAGUGGUUGGGAGUUUAUUCACUCCUUUUUUAAUUAAAAAAAAUCUUGAACCAACAACAGGAUUAUGCUCAUGAAAUCAAGGAUUAUAAAGUAUCCCAACUGCUACUGACAGUUUUCUUUUUUAACCAGAAAUUCAAACUUUAUGUAAAAAGAGAGAGAGAGAAGAGCAUUUUGAAAGGUGCCUAUUUGUAUAAUCAAAAAAGGGUUGUGAAGUAAUGGCAAGUCAGGAGAUAAAAGUCAAUAUUGGGGAGGUGAGGAUGUUGGGGUGAUUCUGAACUCAUUGAUGUGGAGAGUACUGGGACAGAAGAGCUAAAUAAUGUGCAAUUCCUACUACUUAGCAUGAAGGAUUUAUAAAUCUUGUUGAAUUUCAUAAAGAUCUCAAGAUAGAAAAAAAUAACACAACAGCGACAGACUGAGUGACUGUAUGCCAUGCACCUGUCUCCUUGCAGCUGGUAAUGGGCACUUAGGAAGUUUUCCAGGUGCUUACAUACACACAAAUACACGCUUACACUCACCACCCCAUCUGCACAGAAACAAUCUUAUUUUUUAUCUUGCAGCAUUGUCUAAAUAUGAACUAGCCCAGCUAAUUAGCAGUACAAUCUGAACUGUUAUUUGUUGGUUCUGUCAAAUUUACUUACUUUAGGUCUCCAAAACUAUUGUAUUCAGGCUUGCUUGUGAUCCUGUAACCUUGAUCCUUUUAUGUAUUGCAUGCAACACUCUCCUCCCUUGUACAGUGAACACCUCUUGCCAUAUUAUAUAUUAUGGCUUUGGCUACCAUGUCUGUUAAUCAGCAUUAAAGGGAAGUACUCUGUAGUAUCACUCUCAAGCCAGGGACCAUGUGUUCUUUAUCUUCUGCAGUGGCAACCACACUGUCACUGCUUCACAAGUAAAUGCUGAUAUACAAGCUGCAUAAAUCAUGAUGAUGAUCUAUAGCAAUGCAAAUGAAUGGAAAAAUUGAAUCACUGUGAAGAGAGCUGCAUCUUCCUUAUGUUACUGUUAAUUCAAAAACACAGGAUGGACUAUUGCAUUAUCAUUAUGAAAAUUCUACAUUAAAUAUGUUACUUUAAUCAUAA
Molecule: long non-coding RNA, 8553 nt
Organism: Alligator mississippiensis (American alligator)
Lineage: Eukaryota; Metazoa; Chordata; Crocodylia; Alligatoridae
Exons: 4
Source: RefSeq, a predicted model, not a curated record